This 70-nucleotide transfer RNA is filed under the name Dipodomys ordii (Ord's kangaroo rat). It matches the Rfam family "tRNA". Rfam says of the family: Transfer RNA (tRNA) molecules are approximately 80 nucleotides in length. Their secondary structure includes four short double-helical elements and three loops (D, anti-codon, and T loops). Lineage: Eukaryota; Metazoa; Chordata; Mammalia; Rodentia; Heteromyidae. The record is from Rfam by way of RNAcentral.
GGGAAGGUGGCUCAGUGGUAGAGUGCUUGCCUUUCAUGCAUGAGAUCCUUGGUUCGAUUCCUCCACACCA